CCCUUAGAUGUCCUGGGCCGCACGCGCGUUACACUGAUGCAUUCAACGAGCUUAUAACCUUGGCCGAGAGGCCUGGGCAAUCUUGUUAACGUGCAUCGUGAUAGGGAUAGAUUAUUGAAAUUAUUAAUCUUGAACGAGGAAUUCCUAGUAAACGCAGAUCAUCAAUCUGCAUUGAUUACGUCCCUGCCCUUUGUACACACCGCCCGUCGCACCUACCGAUUGGAUGGUCCGGUGAAGCCUCGGGAUUGUGGUUCUUGCCGCUUUAUUGUGGUGUGACCGCGAGAACUUGUCUAAACCUUAUCAUCUAGAGGAAGGUGAAGUCGUAACG
RNAcentral lists this ribosomal RNA (328 nucleotides) under uncultured eukaryote. Its description in RNAcentral is "partial 18S ribosomal RNA". It matches the Rfam family "Eukaryotic small subunit ribosomal RNA", at positions 1470 to 1796 of the family's 1831-position model. The record is from RNAcentral.